Long non-coding RNA from Sinocyclocheilus anshuiensis, 333 nucleotides. RefSeq lists it as uncharacterized. The record is from RefSeq and is a predicted model, not a curated record. The transcript is spliced from 3 exons. NCBI's taxonomy places the organism in Eukaryota, Metazoa, Chordata, Actinopteri, Cypriniformes, Cyprinidae.
GGGCACCCCUGGUUUAGCCUAUCAAUUCAGCAGAGAUCUUCAUCUUCAGUUGUUGUGCGCUAAUAAAGGCAUGACUAGGAAGUUUACAUACAUGUGGCUUGGAACACUACUGCAAAAGUGUCUGUUUAGGUGACAAAACUGGACAUGCUAGUUCAAAGAGGGGAAUACCACAAAACAACACCUGAAGACUGCAUGCCACUGGCAAUAAUGACUCCACUGUCUGCUUUUGUGGUCAAACUGGAUGACGUUUCUUUCAAGUAUAAAGAAUUGAUUAAUCAUCUGUCACAUUUUUUAAACCGCUGCAAAAGUACCAUUUCUUCGCCAUUGCAUAUU